RNAcentral lists this ribosomal RNA (497 nucleotides) under uncultured bacterium. RNAcentral's name for it is "partial 16S ribosomal RNA". It matches the Rfam family "Bacterial small subunit ribosomal RNA", at positions 28 to 507 of the family's 1533-position model. The record is from RNAcentral.
GACGAACGCUGGCGGCGUGCCUAAUACAUGCAAGUUGAGCGCUGAAGGUUGGUACUUGUACCAACUGGAUGAGCAGCGAACGGGUGAGUAACGCGUGGGGAAUCUGCCUUUGAGCGGGGGACAACAUUUGGAAACGAAUGCUAAUACCGCAUAAAAACUUUAAACACAAGUUUUAAGUUUGAAAGAUGCAAUUGCAUCACUCAAAGAUGAUCCCGCGUUGUAUUAGCUAGUUGGUGAGGUAAAGGCUCACCAAGGCGAUGAUACAUAGCCGACCUGAGAGGGGGAUAGGCCACAUUGGGACUGAGACACGGCCCAAACUCCUACGGGAGGCAGCAGUAGGGAAUCUUCGGCAAUGGACGAAAGUCUGACCGAGCAACGCCGCGUGAGUGAAGAAGGUUGUCGGAUCGUAAAACUCUGUUGGUAGAGAAGAACGUUGGUGAGAGUGGAAAGCUCAUCAAGUGACGGUAACUACCCAGAAAGGGACGGCUAACUACGUG